GACGAACGCUGGCGGCGUGCUUAACACAUGCAAGUCGAACGGUGAAGCGCCUUCCUUUCUGGUGGGUGUGGAUGAGUGGCGAACGGGUGAGUAAGACGUGAGUAACCUGCCCCCUUCUUCUGGAUAACCGCAUGAAAGUGUGGCUAAUACGGGAUAUUCUGGGUCUGUUGCAUGUUGGGUCCGGGAAAGAUAUUGUUUCUGUGGGGGGUGGUCUCGCGGCCUAUCAGCUAGUUGGUGGGGUGAUGGCCUUCCAAGGCGGUGGUGGGUGGCCGGCCUGGGAGGGUGGACGGUCAAGCUGGGAGCGAGACACGGCCCAGCCACAGACGGGAGGGAGCAGGGCAGAAGAAAGAAGAACGGGCGCAAGCUUGAUGCAGCGAGGCCGCGUGAGGAAGGGAGGCCUUCGGGUUGAGAACCUCUUUCGCCAGGGAAGCAGGCCUGCUUAGAUUGUGCGGGAGUUGAGGGUAGCUGAAUAAAAGGCGCCGGCUAAUUAGUG
Molecule: ribosomal RNA, 493 nt
Filed under: uncultured bacterium
Lineage: Bacteria
Description: partial 16S ribosomal RNA
Rfam family: Bacterial small subunit ribosomal RNA
Source: RNAcentral